Molecule: RNA transcript, 2159 nt
Organism: Zeugodacus cucurbitae (melon fly)
Lineage: Eukaryota; Metazoa; Arthropoda; Insecta; Diptera; Tephritidae
Gene name: mitochondrial import inner membrane translocase subunit Tim17-B-like
Exons: 2
Source: RefSeq, a predicted model, not a curated record
UUUUUUAAACGAAGCAAAAAUAACAGAAAAUUUAAUUGAUCAAAUUUGUCGAUGAAAGUCGAUGAAACAGUUGUACGUUCUUACUUUGUGGUAAAUAAGUUUUUCGACGGAAUCAAUGAUUGCAUAAAAAAUUGCAUCGAUCUAAAAUCUUUAUCGUAUCGAAAUCGAAUUCGAUCGAAUAUAAACAUUUUAGUUCUAUGUGCUAAAAAAAUUUUUCAGGUCUGACUAUCAUAUGAACGGUCAAAUGAUUCACAUUGUUCUUGCACAAAUUGUUCCAAAACGUAUAAUACAGUUAUGUCAACAUAUAUAAAACGACAAAAAAAUUACUGUUAUUAAUAAGCAAUGCACAAGAAACUGAACCACAAAACAAAAAUACAGAUGUCGUUGCUCGUCAUCAGCUUUUGUUUUACUUAUACAUUCCUUGAUAAGUAAGAUCGUCAAAUGUUAGUGAAAAUCAAAAAGAAGAAUGUGUGAAACAAAUGAAAUUACUAUGUAAUAGCAAGUACACCAGUUGUUCAGUAGCUUCUUCACUCAUGUAUGAGUAGAUAUUUGCUGAAAAUACAUGCCUAUGAAUGUGAGUGGACAUCACCACCGUAUUUGAAGCAUGUUAAUCAUGUGAAUCUGUGUAAUCAAAUUAAUCACUCUUGCAGUUCUCUGGUGUGCACAUACUUUUGACUACUGGUAUUCAUUAUUUCCUUUGGUCUGUCAUAUGUCCAUCUAUUCUAACUAUACUUACAUCCUUCGCUUAGAAAUAGAUCAAGAUUUACAACUACAUAACAUUUUAUUGUGCUGCAACAACAAUAUAUAAAGCUUUUUCUGUGGAAUUUGUAAAACACGUUCAACUAGUAAAUACUUGUGUCUAUCACUGUAUAUAAAUUUUGGUUUGUAUUUACAUUUCUUAAAUAUUUGCCCCCAUUUUCGUUGUCGUUAUCGUUUUAAACCAAAUAAGAACGCCUAUUUGGCAUUACUGUUGGCGUUAUCGACAUUUAUCGAAAAUAAAUUGAGAUUCCCCAAUUAGAAACGACUAUAGAAUUGACAUAGAAACAGUCGUUCUUUGUCGUUGCUAUAAUUGAGAGCGAUAUAGAAACGACGCGGUUAUUUGAAGGAAUAUUUGAAGUGAAGAUGAAAAUUCCAAAUCGGAAACAGUUUGAAAUUUUAAUUUCUGAAAUAGAAAAAUAUCCUGCAUAUGCCAACGUUUUUAGAAAAGGGAUAAAACCUUUAAAUUUCAAAUUUUUUGGACGGAUAUUUCCAAACAAUUCAAUUAAUUUGCAAGAGGAGUUAAUAAACAGAUACCACAGUCUCCUUUGGAAGAAGCUGUUGCGAAUUUAAUGCAGUUCGGUAAUUAGCUGGACCUCCAGGUAUAGUAGUCGGAUUAGCCGUAAGCGAGGAGACGCUGGAAGUAUCAUAUAUUUUAGAAGAAAGAUUGGAGGACGCAGAUGCCACCACUACUUCUUUUGGUAUACCAGCAAUGGCAGGAAGUGCUAUAAUCGGUGGAGUGUUACUGGCUUUAAUUGAAGGAGUUGGAAUUUUAUUUACCCGUCUUUCUGCAGAACAAUUUCGAAAUCCUACACCACCAAUUGAAGAUCCGAUAGCACUAGGCGAUACUGCACAAUCUUUAGGUUUGGGUCAAACCCAUCAGCAUCAAUCACAGUAUCAGUGAAUACGCGUUGUAAUAUGUACAGGAUUCUUAUUUAUACAUAUGCGUUGUAACAUAUUUGUGAACCACGUUCAUAACGGUGUAAAUUUAUUUUUAAUAGACCAUAAUAUUUAGCAAUUGUACAAUUUCUGAAAAUUACGUUAUAUUAACAUUUAAAUCUUAUAUUUCAAUAGUCAUUUGUAAUAUUCUGAUGAUUAUGUGAAAUAAAUUUAAAUUAAAUAAUGAGUUUGAACAAAGAAAAACUUAAGCCCAAGGUAACAAAAUUAAGGCAAACCACAAACGAAACUAUAACCUAUAUUUAAUUCCAAUUAUUCCAACAGAAAAUGUAUUAUCAAAAUAAUUUCUUGUAGCACACGAGUCAUGAGAGUCUUGUUCACCUAAUGGUUGUUUUUAAUAUCUAAAACUAAACAAGUUAGGUAUAGUGUCGCAAAACAAAAUGGUCAACGAUAAGUUGAGAUAUCUUAAUAAAACUUGGUUUACGUGUUUACCUUAAAAGUAAAAA